GCACUGCCUUUGAGUCCCCGCUGCGCCUGCGUGUGUCACGGUGGGGGGGGGGGGGGGGGGGUGUCAGGCUGCAGGGCCAGAGCAGUUGCUUGCGCACAACUGGGGCCUACGGCUCUUUGCCCACGACCCUUUUAACCACGAGUGACACGG
Molecule: small nucleolar RNA, 150 nt
Filed under: Myotis davidii
Lineage: Eukaryota; Metazoa; Chordata; Mammalia; Chiroptera; Vespertilionidae
Source: RNAcentral